This 246-nucleotide ribosomal RNA is filed under the name uncultured bacterium. RNAcentral describes it as "partial 16S ribosomal RNA". It matches the Rfam family "Bacterial small subunit ribosomal RNA", at positions 87 to 334 of the family's 1533-position model. The record is from RNAcentral.
UAUGGCGACCGGCGCACGGGUGAGUAACACGUAUCCAACCUGCCGAUGACUUGGGGAUAGCCUUUCGAAAGAAAGAUUAAUACCCGAUGGCAUAGUUCUUCCGCAUGGUAGAACUAUUAAAGAAUUUCGGUCAUCGAUGGGGAUGCGUUCCAUUAGGUUGUUGGCGGGGUAACGGCCCACCAAGCCUUCGAUGGAUAGGGGUUCUGAGAGGAAGGUCCCCCACAUUGGAACUGAGACACGGUCCAA